This 449-nucleotide ribosomal RNA is filed under the name uncultured bacterium. RNAcentral describes it as "partial 16S ribosomal RNA". It matches the Rfam family "Bacterial small subunit ribosomal RNA", at positions 29 to 523 of the family's 1533-position model. The record is from RNAcentral.
AGCGAACGCUGGCGGCAAGCUUAACACAUGCAAGUCGAACGAUGUAGCAAUACAUAGUGGCGGACGGGUGUCUAACACGUGGGAAUCUGCCCUUAGGUUCGGAAUAACUCAGGGAAACUUGAGCUAAUACCGUAUAAUAUCUCCGGAUCAAAGAUUUAUCGCCUAAGGAUGAGCCCGCGGUGGAUUAGCUAGUUGGUGGGGUAAUGGCCUACCAAGGCGACGAUCCAUAGCUGGUCUGCUCGGAUGCUCAGCCACACUGGGACUGAGACACGGCCCCUCCUCCUACGGGAGGCAGCAGUGGCUCCUCUUUCCCAAUGGGGGGAACCCUGAUCCAGCUAUGCCGCGUUUCUUCUCCCUGCCUUCGGGUUGUCCCCUUCUUUUCUGUGGGACGAUAAUGACGGUACCACCAGCCCCAGCCCCGGCAAACUUCGUGCCAGCAGCCGCGGUAA